RNAcentral lists this long non-coding RNA (294 nucleotides) under Hordeum vulgare. RNAcentral describes it as "long non-coding RNA (HVUL_LNC011731)". Lineage: Eukaryota; Viridiplantae; Streptophyta; Magnoliopsida; Poales; Poaceae. The record is from RNAcentral.
ACCUUAUGCAUCCUCCUUUCGAUGGUCUUCCUCUAUUCUUCCUUGAUGGAUCCAUGUCUUCUAGUCGCUUUAGGCGGACCAGCGAGUUCAUGAGCAAGUGGAUGAACAAGUAGCGAGUGAUGGAUCCAUGUCUUCUGAAUAUCUUGAUACCAAUUCUAUUUGAGUGCAUGUCCUGUGUUUUGUACCUUCAGCCCAAACAUUAAUUAGUUGUAUAGAAGGCAUGUCCUCUUGAUAUCAUGAAUGGGGGUCAUCUUACUUUGCAUUGUAUGAACUUCACACUGUCAAUGAUAUAUC